CUUUAAUCUCUCCUACUGGUCUUUAGAUGUUUGGCCCCAGAUGAGAUUCUUCUUUCAGGCAUCAGAGCUACUUUGUCUGGUGUGCCAACGCUACCUGUCCUCAACCCCUGGCCCAGUGACUACAGUGGCUGGCCCCAUGGCCCGGGAUGUGGAGAGCCUGGCCCUGUGUCUGCGAGCCCCGCUAAGUGAAGACAUGCACCGACUGGACCCUUUUAUGCCCUUCAGGGAGGAGGUAUACUCCAGUAACCAGCGCCUUCGAAUUGGCUUCUGUGAAACAGAUGGCUUCACCCAGCCAUCUCCUAGCAUGGCCAGGGCUGUGAGGCUCACCUCCAGGCUGCUCCAGGAUGCAGGACAUCAGGUAGGCUUGCUUACCCCUGGAUGGGGAGGGAAGCCAGACUGGCGAGGAGACUGGGCUGGGCCAUUCUUGGAGAGAAAGGAAGUUAUAUCUGAGUUUGAGCUGCUAACAUCACUGUGUUUCCCCUAGGCUUCCUGGAAAAGACUGAUGGGUGCAGGUGGGGGCAGGGUGGGCCCCACCCUGUGAGGAAGGCAUCAAGAUUUUGCAUCCUCCCCCUUCAGUGGUGGGGACCAGGGAUUCAUUCCUAUAAUUCCUAUAGAUUUGGUUUCUCCAUCAAAUGGCUGUAAGGAGAACUAUGUCCCCAAAAUCAUUUCCCUCCCCAGCCCCUGCCUCCCUCCAAUGUCUUGUCCUGGUCCUGUCUCCCCUUUGAGAACUGCUGGUUGGCCACAUGUGUACUAUGUGGUCUUGGGCCAGUCUCUUAACCACCUGGAGCCUCAGUUUUCUACCACAUAGGGCAGCUGUGCAGAUUAAAUGAGCUCACAUAUGUGAAGCACUCAGCAUGGGGCAGGAUCCCAGUGAAGCAGGCAGGGCUGCCUCAAUGCCAUGGCAUCUCUGUGUAGGGUGAAGGGCUGGGCAUGGCAGCAGAGGGGUUGGAGUGGAUGGAGAUGAGUGGCGAUUUGGUAUCCUCUCUUUAAAUCCUGAAGGAUGCAAAGAGAAUACCAGGCAGGGUGGGAGGAGCCCCAGGCCCCGACUCAGCCUCUGUCUCUCAGGUCAUCCCCUUCUCCAUCCCCCAUAUAAAGUAUGCUGUCAAACACCUGUUCGAGGGGGGUCUGUUUGCUGAUGGAGGGGCCACCCUUCUGGAGAAGCUUGAGGGGGACAUUGUGGACCCCUGCAUAAAGGGAAUGGUCAACUGGCUCCGCCUGCCAGACCUACUCAAGUGUUUCUUGGCCUGGAUCCUGAAGUACACAGAACCCCGAGCUAGCCAGACUUGUGAAGAGAUUCGUGGAGUGGGGACUCCCAAGAAACUGUGGGAGCAGCACGCAGCAGUGCAGGAAUAUCAGCAAAAGUUCAUAGCCAAGUGGAGGUCCCUGGACCUGGACGUGCUGCUGAUGCCAGCUAUGGACCCCGCCUUCCAUAUAUAUGCUAUUCUGAGAUAGGAACAGAUAUUGCCUCCUACACGGGCCUGUACAACAUCCUGAACUUCCCUGCUGGCGUUGUGCCGGUCACCACUGUGACGCCGCAGGACGAGGAGGAACUGGCCUUCUACAUGGGAUACUACAGAGAUAGUACCGACAA
This is an RNA transcript of Acinonyx jubatus (cheetah), 1591 nucleotides long. It is a transcript of the gene named fatty-acid amide hydrolase 1-like, with no coding region annotated. NCBI's taxonomy places the organism in Eukaryota, Metazoa, Chordata, Mammalia, Carnivora, Felidae. The record is from RefSeq and is a predicted model, not a curated record. The transcript is spliced from 8 exons.